This 541-nucleotide ribosomal RNA is filed under the name uncultured bacterium. RNAcentral's name for it is "bacterial SSU rRNA". It matches the Rfam family "Bacterial small subunit ribosomal RNA", at positions 356 to 896 of the family's 1533-position model. The record is from RNAcentral.
GGGGAAUAUUGCACAAUGGGCGAAAGCCUGAUGCAGCGACGCCGCGUGAGGGAUGGAGGCCUUCGGGUUGUAAACCUCUUUCGCUCAUGGUCAAGCCGCAACAAUGGUUGUGGUGAGGGUAGUGGGUAAAGAAGCGCCGGCUAACUACGUGCCAGCAGCCGCGGUAAUACGUAGGGCGCGAGCGUUGUCCGGAAUUAUUGGGCGUAAAGGGCUUGUAGGCGGUUGGUCGCGUCUGCCGUGAAAUCCUCUGGCUUAACUGGGGGCGUGCGGUGGGUACGGGCUGACUUGAGUGCGGUAGGGGAGACUGGAACUCCUGGUGUAGCGGUGGAAUGCGCAGAUAUCAGGAAGAACACCGGUGGCGAAGGCGGGUCUCUGGGCCGUUACUGACGCUGAGGAGCGAAAGCGUGGGGAGCGAACCGGAUUAGAUACCCUGGUAGUCCACGCUGUAAACGUUGGGCACUAGGUGUGGGGGCCACCCGUGGUUUCUGCGCCGUAGCUAACGCUUUAAGUGCCCCGCCUGGGGAGUACGGCCGCAAGGCUA